RNAcentral lists this non-coding RNA (345 nucleotides) under Streptomyces afghaniensis 772. RNAcentral describes it as "Bacterial large subunit ribosomal RNA". It matches the Rfam family "Bacterial large subunit ribosomal RNA", at positions 1629 to 1950 of the family's 2925-position model. The record is from Rfam by way of RNAcentral. Lineage: Bacteria; Bacillati; Actinomycetota; Actinomycetes; Kitasatosporales; Streptomycetaceae.
GUUUCAUGGCGGCCCGUACCCUAAACCGACUCAGGUGGUCAGGUAGAGAAUACCGAGGCGUUCGGGUGAACUAUGGUUAAGGAACUCGGCAAAAUGCCCCCGUAACUUCGGGAGAAGGGGGGCCACAUCUGGUGAUGAGCUUCGCGCUCUGAGCUGGGGGUGCCGCAGAGACCAGCGAGAAGCGACUGUUUACAAAAACACAGGUCCGUGCGAAGCCGUAAGGCGAUGUAUACGGACUGACGCCUGCCCGGUGCUGGAACGUUAAGGGGACCGGUUAGCUCCAGUUUCGGUGGGGCGAAGCUGAGAACUUAAGCGCCAGUAACGGCGGUGGUAACUAUAACCAUC